GACGAACGCUGGCGGCGCGCUUACACAUGCAAGUCGAACGGAAAGGCCUGCUUUCCCUUGUGGAUUGCGGGUACUCGAGUGGCGAACGGGUGAGUAACACGUGAGUGAUCUGCCCCCAACUUGGGUAUAAGCCUGGGAAACUGGGUCUAAUUCCCGAUAGGACUGCAGGGUGGUGCCUGUGGUGGAAAACGAUUUUCUAGUGGUUGGGGAUGAGCUCGCGGCCUAUCAGCUUGUUGGUGGGGUAAUGGCCUACCAAGGCGGCGACGGGUAGCCGGCCUGAGAGGGUGGACGGCCACAUUGGGACUGAGAUACGGCCCAGACUCCUACGGGAGGCAGCAGUGGGGAAUAUUGCACAAUGGGCGGAAGCCUGAUGCAGCGACGCCGCGUGGGGGAUGACGGCCUUCGGGUUGUAAACUCCUUUCGACCGCGAGGAAGCCACCUGGUUGGAAGGGUGGUGACGGUAGUGGUAGAAGAAGCACCGGCUAACUACGUG
Molecule: ribosomal RNA, 493 nt
Filed under: uncultured bacterium
Lineage: Bacteria
Description: partial 16S ribosomal RNA
Rfam family: Bacterial small subunit ribosomal RNA
Source: RNAcentral